AGUGAACGCUGGUGGUAGGCCUAACACAUGCAAGUCGAACGGCAGCACAGGAGAGCUUGCUCUCUGGGUGGCGAGUGGCGGACGGGUGAGGAAUACAUCGGAAUCUACUCUGUCGUGGGGGAUCACGUAGGGAAGCUUACGCUAAUACCGCAUACGAACUACGGGUGAAAGCAGGGGAGCUUCAGACCUUGCGCGAUUGAAUGAGCCGAUGUCGGAUUAGGUAGUUGGCGGGGUAAAGGCCCACCAAGGCGACGAUCCGUAGCUGGUCUGAGAGGAUGAUCAGCCACACUGGAACUGAGACACGGUCCAGACUCCUACGGGAGGCAGCAGUGGGGAAUAUUGGACAAUGGGCGCAAGCCUGAUCCAGCCAUACCGCGUGGGUGAAGAAGGCCUUCGGGUUGUAAAGCCCUUUUGUUGGGAAAGAAAUCCAGCUGGCUAAUACCCGGUUGGGAUGACGGUACCCAGAGAAUAAGCACCGGCUAACUUCGUGCCAGCAGCCGCCGUAA
This 506-nucleotide ribosomal RNA is filed under the name uncultured bacterium. RNAcentral describes it as "partial 16S ribosomal RNA". It matches the Rfam family "Bacterial small subunit ribosomal RNA", at positions 29 to 523 of the family's 1533-position model. The record is from RNAcentral.